AUGGUGCAUGGUAAAAAGGGUAAAGUAGAAGAUGAAGAAUGGUCGGAAAUGACUGGCAAUGAGCUAGGCGGAGAUGGUUAUGAGUUUUGGUUCUUAGAUAACAGAGAUAAUGGGAAGAGAAAUACCUAUCGGAGUCUCUCCGAUGGAGCUUCAGAAAAAAUAGGCAGAUUAGGACAACAACUUGGCAUGGUCUUUGUUAAAACAAGGUUGGAGAAAAUGGACAACAUUAAACUCAAGAAUUGGACUGUUAUUGGAUUAAAACAGUGCUGGAAAAAUGGGCAGCAUUGA
Molecule: non-coding RNA, 288 nt
Organism: Vicia faba (fava bean)
Lineage: Eukaryota; Viridiplantae; Streptophyta; Magnoliopsida; Fabales; Fabaceae
Source: the annotation of a GenBank genome assembly